AAGUCGUAACAAGGUUUCCCUCCGCAGCUGAGCUUCGGAGACCUUGCAGCCCUUCUGGGGAGGCAGCGCGACUAUAAAUAAGGCUGGCCAUUUGCAAGUUGACCGUGAGGUCAGCGACAUAAUCGAACUGACGGGGACUUCCUAAAGCCUGCAGCACCACCCGGACGGGGAAACUCGUCUGGUAUGGUAAGAGCCUGUAGGAUGCACAAUGGAUAAUCCGCAGCCGAGCCCCUACUGCAGAAGCUAUGGGGAAGGUUCACAGACUAGGUGAUU
Molecule: unclassified non-coding RNA, 273 nt
Filed under: Hyaloscypha sp.
Lineage: Eukaryota; Fungi; Ascomycota; Leotiomycetes; Helotiales; Hyaloscyphaceae
Description: partial contains internal transcribed spacer 1
Source: RNAcentral